UACGUAGGGGCAAGCGUUAUCCGGAUUUACUGGGUGUAAAGGGAGCGUAGACUGAGAAGCAAGUCGGAUGUGAAAGGCUGGGGCUCAACCCCGGGAUUGCAUUUGAAACUGUCUCUCUUGAGUACCGGAAGGGCAGACGGAAUUCCUGGUGUAGCGGUGAAAUGCGUAGAGAUCAGGAGGAACACCGAUGGCGAAUGCAGGUCUCUGGGCCACUACUGACGCUGAGAAGCGAAAGCAUGGGGAGCGAACCAGGAUUAGAUA
RNAcentral lists this ribosomal RNA (261 nucleotides) under uncultured prokaryote. RNAcentral describes it as "partial 16S ribosomal RNA". It matches the Rfam family "Bacterial small subunit ribosomal RNA", at positions 524 to 784 of the family's 1533-position model. The record is from RNAcentral.